CGUACAAAGGAAGUUGACGGGGCCGCACAAGCGGUGGAGCAUGUGGUUAAUUCGAAGCAACGCGAAGAACCUUACCAGGUCUUGACAUCCCUGACAACCGAGAGAUCGGGCGUCCCCUUCGGGGGACAGGGUGACAGGUGGUGCAUGGUUGUCGUCAGCUCGUGUCGUGAGAUGUUGGGUUAAGUCCCGCAACGAGCGCAACCCUCGACCUUAGUUGCCAGCAUUCAGUUGGGCACUCUAAGGUGACUGCCGGCUAAAAGUACGGAGGAAGGUGGGAUGACGUCAAAUCAUCAUGCCCCUUAUGACCUGGGCUACACGCGUGCUACAAUGGCCGGUACAGACGGACGCAAAGCCGCGAGGUGGAGCAAAUCCUAAAAAGCCGGUCUCAGUUCGGAUUGCAGGCUGCAAUUCGCCUGCAUGAAGUCGGAAUCGCUAGUAAUCGCAGGUCAGCAUACUGCGGUGAAUACGUUCCCGGGCCUU
This 480-nucleotide ribosomal RNA is filed under the name uncultured bacterium. Its description in RNAcentral is "bacterial SSU rRNA". It matches the Rfam family "Bacterial small subunit ribosomal RNA", at positions 903 to 1382 of the family's 1533-position model. The record is from RNAcentral.